GGGGGAUAUUGGACAAUGGGGGCAACCCUGAUCCAGCGACGCCGCGUGAGGGAAGAAGGUUUUCGGAUUGUAAACCUCUGUUGACGGAGAAAAAAAUGAUGGUAUCCGUUUAGAAAGCCACGGCUAACUACGUGCCAGCAGCCGCGGUAAUACGUAGGUGGCAAGCGUUGUCCGGAAUUACUGGGUGUAAAGGGAGUGUAGGCGGGAUGUCAAGUCAGAAGUGAAAAUUACGGGCUCAACUCGUAACCUGCUUUUGAAACUGACAUUCUUGAGUGAAGUAGAGGCAAGCGGAAUUCCUAGUGUAGCGGUGAAAUGCGUAGAUAUUAGGAGGAACACCAGUGGCGAAGGCGGCUUGCUGGGCUUUUACUGACGCUGAGGCUCGAAAGCGUGGGGAGCAAAC
This 400-nucleotide ribosomal RNA is filed under the name uncultured bacterium. Its description in RNAcentral is "bacterial SSU rRNA". It matches the Rfam family "Bacterial small subunit ribosomal RNA", at positions 356 to 773 of the family's 1533-position model. The record is from RNAcentral.